This 77-nucleotide transfer RNA is filed under the name Caudoviricetes sp. RNAcentral's name for it is "tRNA-Gly". It matches the Rfam family "tRNA". From Rfam's summary of the family: Transfer RNA (tRNA) molecules are approximately 80 nucleotides in length. Their secondary structure includes four short double-helical elements and three loops (D, anti-codon, and T loops). Lineage: Duplodnaviria; Heunggongvirae; Uroviricota; Caudoviricetes. The record is from RNAcentral.
GUAGGUAUAGUGUUCAACGGUUAGCAUAUCGGUCUUCCAAACCGAGGGUGCGGGUUCAAAUCCCGCUAUCUACUCCA